AGAACGAACGCUGGCGGCAUGCCUAAUACAUGCAAGUCGAACGAGAUCUUCGGGUCUAGUGGCGCACGGGUGCGUAACGCGUGGGAAUCUACCCUUGGGUUCGGAAUAACAGUUGGAAACGACUGCUAAUACCGGAUGAUGACGAAAGUCCAAAGAUUUAUCGCCCAAGGAUGAGCCCGCGUAGGAUUAGCUAGUUGGUGAGGUAAAGGCUCACCAAGGCUACGAUCCUUAGCUGGUCUGAGAGGAUGAUCAGCCACACUGGGACUGAGACACGGCCCAGACUCCUACGGGAGGCAGCAGUAGGGAUAUUGGACAAUGGGGGCAACCUGAUCCAGCAAUGCCGCGUGAGUGAUGAAGGCCGUUAGGGUUGUAAAGUCUACUUUUACCCGAGAUGAUAAUGACAGUAGUGGAAGAAUAAGCGUCCGCCUAACUCCGUG
RNAcentral lists this ribosomal RNA (437 nucleotides) under uncultured soil bacterium. Its description in RNAcentral is "bacterial SSU rRNA". It matches the Rfam family "Bacterial small subunit ribosomal RNA", at positions 26 to 507 of the family's 1533-position model. The record is from RNAcentral.